This 159-nucleotide ribosomal RNA is filed under the name Melampodium paniculatum. RNAcentral describes it as "5.8S ribosomal RNA". It matches the Rfam family "5.8S ribosomal RNA". Rfam says of the family: 5.8S ribosomal RNA (5.8S rRNA) is a component of the large subunit of the eukaryotic ribosome. It is transcribed by RNA polymerase I as part of the 45S precursor that also contains 18S and 28S rRNA. Lineage: Eukaryota; Viridiplantae; Streptophyta; Magnoliopsida; Asterales; Asteraceae. The record is from RNAcentral.
CGACUCUCGGCAACGGAUAUCUCGGCUCACGCAUCGAUGAAGAACGUAGCAAAAUGCGAUACUUGGUGUGAAUUGCAGAAUCCCGUGAACCAUCGAGUUUUUGAACGCAAGUUGCGCCCGAAGCCAUUUGGUUGAGGGCACGUCUGCUUGGGCGUCACG